Molecule: ribosomal RNA, 464 nt
Filed under: uncultured bacterium
Lineage: Bacteria
Description: bacterial SSU rRNA
Rfam family: Bacterial small subunit ribosomal RNA
Source: RNAcentral
CUCCUACGGGAGGCAGCAGUGGGGAAUAUUGCACAAUGGGCGCAAGCCUGAUGCAGCCAUGCCGCGUGUGUGAAGAAGGCCUUCGGGUUGUAAAGCACUUUCAGUUGUGAGGAAGGUGGUGUCGUUAAUAGCGGCAUCAUUUGACGUUAGCAACAGAAGAAGCACCGGCUAACUCCGUGCCAGCAGCCGCGGUAAUACGGAGGGUGCGAGCGUUAAUCGGAAUUACUGGGCGUAAAGCGCAUGCAGGUGGUUUGUUAAGUCAGAUGUGAAAGCCCGGGGCUCAACCUCGGAACUGCAUUUGAAACUGGCAGACUAGAGUACUGUAGAGGGGGUAGAAUUUCAGGUGUAGCGGUGAAAUGCGUAGAGAUCUGAAGGAAUACCGGUGGCGAAGGCGACCCCCUGGACAGAUACUGACACUCAGAUGCGAAAGCGUGGGGAGCAAACAGGAUUAGAUACCCUGGUAG